GAUGAACGCUGGCGGCGUGCCUAAUACAUGCAAGUCGAGCGAACAGACGAGGAGCUUGCUCCUCUGACGUUAGCGGCGGACGGGUGAGUAACACGUGGAUAACCUACCUAUAAGACUGGGAUAACUUCGGGAAACCGGAGCUAAUACCGGAUAAUAUAUUGAACCGCAUGGUUCAAUAGUGAAAGACGGUUUUGCUGUCACUUAUAGAUGGAUCCGCGCCGCAUUAGCUAGUUGGUAAGGUAACGGCUUACCAAGGCAACGAUGCGUAGCCGACCUGAGAGGGUGAUCGGCCCCACUGGAACUGAGACACGGUCCAGACUCCUACGGGAGGCAGCAGUACGGACUCUUCCGCAAUGGGCGAAAGCCUGCCGGAGCAACGCCGCGUGAGUGAUGAAGGUCUUCGGAUCGUAAAACUCCGUUAUUAGGGAAGAACAAAUGUGUACGUAACUAUGCACGUCUUGACGGUACCUAAUCAGAAAGCCACGGCUAACUACGUG
Molecule: ribosomal RNA, 497 nt
Filed under: uncultured bacterium
Lineage: Bacteria
Description: partial 16S ribosomal RNA
Rfam family: Bacterial small subunit ribosomal RNA
Source: RNAcentral